This 521-nucleotide ribosomal RNA is filed under the name uncultured bacterium. RNAcentral's name for it is "partial 16S ribosomal RNA". It matches the Rfam family "Bacterial small subunit ribosomal RNA", at positions 28 to 523 of the family's 1533-position model. The record is from RNAcentral.
GACGAACGCUGGCGGCGUGCCUAAUACAUGCAAGGUGAACGCUUCUUUCUUAUCGAACUUCGGUUCACCAAGAAAGAAGAGUAGCGAACGGGUGAGUAACACGUGGGUAACCUGCCCAUCAGCGGGGGAUAACACUUGGAAACAGGUGCUAAUACCGCAUAAUACUUUUUCUCUCAUGAGUGAAAGUUGAAAGGCGCUUUUGCGUCACUGAUGGAUGGACCCGCGGUGCAUGAGCUAGUUGGUAGGGUAACGGCCUACCAAGGCAACGAUGCAUAGCCGCCCUGAGAGGGUGAUCGGCCACACUGGGACUGAGACACGGCCCGGACUCCUACGGGAGGCAGCAGUAGGGAAUCUUCGGCAAUGGACGAAAGUCUGACCGAGCAACGCCGCGUGAGUGAAGAAGGUUUUCGGAUCGUAAAACUCUGUUGUUAGAGAAGAACAAGGAUGAGAAGAGAAUGUUCAUCCCUUGACGGUAUCUAACCAGAAAGCCACGGCUAACUACGUGCCAGCAGCCGCCGUAA